RNAcentral lists this ribosomal RNA (540 nucleotides) under uncultured bacterium. Its description in RNAcentral is "bacterial SSU rRNA". It matches the Rfam family "Bacterial small subunit ribosomal RNA", at positions 40 to 603 of the family's 1533-position model. The record is from RNAcentral.
CGGCGUGCCUAACACAUGCAAGUCGAACGGAAAUAGCAAUAUUUGAGUGGCGCACGGGUGAGUAACACGUAGCUAAUCUACCUCAAAGCGCGGGAUAACGUGUCGAAAGACAGGCUAAUACCGCAUAAGCUCCCGAUCUGUAGAGGGUUGGGAGAAAAGGCGCAAGUCACUUUGAGAUGAGGCUGCGGCCCAUCAGCUAGUUGGUGCGGUAACGGCGUACCAAGGCGACGACGGGUAGGGGACCUGAGAGGGUGACCCCCCACACUGGGACUGAGACACGGCCCCAGACUCCUACGGGAGGCAGCAGUGAGGAAUAUUGCACAAUGGGCGAAAGCCUGAUGCAGCGACGCCGCGUGGGGUGAAGAAGGUUUUCGGAUCGUAAAACCCUUUUCUGUGUGACGAGCAAGGACGGUAGCACAGGAAUAAGUCUCGGCUAACUACGUGCCAGCAGCCGCGGUAAAACGUAGGAGACAAACGUUAUCCGGAGUUACUGGGCGUAAAGGGCGUGUAGGUGGUUUUGUAAGUCUGGCGUGAAAUAUC